UUAGCUCAGUCGGUAAGAGCAUCGUGCUAAUAACGCGAGGGUCGCAGUUCGAGCCCUGCAUCGACCA
Molecule: transfer RNA, 67 nt
Filed under: Perkinsus marinus ATCC 50983
Lineage: Eukaryota; Perkinsozoa; Perkinsida; Perkinsidae
Rfam family: tRNA
About the family: Transfer RNA (tRNA) molecules are approximately 80 nucleotides in length.
Source: Rfam by way of RNAcentral